This 1465-nucleotide ribosomal RNA is filed under the name Lacticaseibacillus casei. RNAcentral describes it as "bacterial SSU rRNA". It matches the Rfam family "Bacterial small subunit ribosomal RNA". The record is from RNAcentral. Lineage: Bacteria; Bacillati; Bacillota; Bacilli; Lactobacillales; Lactobacillaceae.
GCUGGCGGCGUGCCUAAUACAUGCAAGUCGAACGAGUUCUCGUUGAUGAUCGGUGCUUGCACCGAGAUUCAACAUGGAACGAGUGGCGGACGGGUGAGUAACACGUGGGUAACCUGCCCUUAAGUGGGGGAUAACAUUUGGAAACAGAUGCUAAUACCGCAUAGAUCCAAGAACCGCAUGGUUCUUGGCUGAAAGAUGGCGUAAGCUAUCGCUUUUGGAUGGACCCGCGGCGUAUUAGCUAGUUGGUGAGGUAAUGGCUCACCAAGGCGAUGAUACGUAGCCGAACUGAGAGGUUGAUCGGCCACAUUGGGACUGAGACACGGCCCAAACUCCUACGGGAGGCAGCAGUAGGGAAUCUUCCACAAUGGACGCAAGUCUGAUGGAGCAACGCCGCGUGAGUGAAGAAGGCUUUCGGGUCGUAAAACUCUGUUGUUGGAGAAGAAUGGUCGGCAGAGUAACUGUUGUCGGCGUGACGGUAUCCAACCAGAAAGCCACGGCUAACUACGUGCCAGCAGCCGCGGUAAUACGUAGGUGGCAAGCGUUAUCCGGAUUUAUUGGGCGUAAAGCGAGCGCAGGCGGUUUUUUAAGUCUGAUGUGAAAGCCCUCGGCUUAACCGAGGAAGCGCAUCGGAAACUGGGAAACUUGAGUGCAGAAGAGGACAGUGGAACUCCAUGUGUAGCGGUGAAAUGCGUAGAUAUAUGGAAGAACACCAGUGGCGAAGGCGGCUGUCUGGUCUGUAACUGACGCUGAGGCUCGAAAGCAUGGGUAGCGAACAGGAUUAGAUACCCUGGUAGUCCAUGCCGUAAACGAUGAAUGCUAGGUGUUGGAGGGUUUCCGCCCUUCAGUGCCGCAGCUAACGCAUUAAGCAUUCCGCCUGGGGAGUACGACCGCAAGGUUGAAACUCAAAGGAAUUGACGGGGGCCCGCACAAGCGGUGGAGCAUGUGGUUUAAUUCGAAGCAACGCGAAGAACCUUACCAGGUCUUGACAUCUUUUGAUCACCUGAGAGAUCAGGUUUCCCCUUCGGGGGCAAAAUGACAGGUGGUGCAUGGUUGUCGUCAGCUCGUGUCGUGAGAUGUUGGGUUAAGUCCCGCAACGAGCGCAACCCUUAUGACUAGUUGCCAGCAUUUAGUUGGGCACUCUAGUAAGACUGCCGGUGACAAACCGGAGGAAGGUGGGGAUGACGUCAAAUCAUCAUGCCCCUUAUGACCUGGGCUACACACGUGCUACAAUGGAUGGUACAACGAGUUGCGAGACCGCGAGGUCAAGCUAAUCUCUUAAAGCCAUUCUCAGUUCGGACUGUAGGCUGCAACUCGCCUACACGAAGUCGGAAUCGCUAGUAAUCGCGGAUCAGCACGCCGCGGUGAAUACGUUCCCGGGCCUUGUACACACCGCCCGUCACACCAUGAGAGUUUGUAACACCCGAAGCCGGUGGCGUAACCCUUUUAGGGAGCGAGCCGUCUAAGG